Molecule: ribosomal RNA, 253 nt
Filed under: uncultured archaeon
Lineage: Archaea
Description: partial 16S ribosomal RNA
Rfam family: Archaeal small subunit ribosomal RNA
Source: RNAcentral
AACCAGCACCUCAAGUGGUCAGGAGGAUUAUUGGGCCUAAAGCAUCCGUAGCCGGCUCUGUAAGUUUUCGGUUAAAUCCAUGUGCUCAACGCAUGGGCUGUCGAAAAUACUGCAUAGCUAGGGAGUGGGAGAGGUAGACGGUACUCGGUAGGAAGGGGUAAAAUCCUUUGAUCUAUCGAUGACCACCUGUGGCGAAGGCGGCUCACUGGCUCGAUACUGACGCUGAGGUGCGAAAGUGUGGGGAGCAAACAGG